AAGUGUUCAAGCGAGCCUGUACUGCAGUGGAGCUCUGAUUCAAAAUAACCUCAGUUUCGCACAUAUCUGAGUCGUUAAUGACCUCGAGGCUAAAAGCAAAGCUGGCUAGUGUUCCCUGAGGCUGAUUUUUACCUGAAGUCCUUGACUUUGUACAAAACCCAAAAUGCCUUGAUACUUGUCUUCAGUAAUUAGACUUUAAAUUUAACUUUCUCUCCCUGCUUCCCACCCCUUUUAAAGGAGGAGUUGUUAAGGGACAACUUUUUUGAGAUUUUGCCGUGCCUGAGGCAGAAUAUUUAUUGUGUGACUAGUCAUGGUGAGAUACACCAGCAGUCUAUGCUUUUGGGAGGUGGAGCAGUGAAGGUCACAAGUCUCAGACCAAAUCUGGCUGUAUAGUGAGACCCUGUCUGCUCCCAAAAAACACCCUCCAACCCCUAGUGUUAAGAGUCAUUAAACUGAAGUUAACUGUACAUUUAUUGUGUCUGAAUAAUGUUCUUUGCACAUCAGGUCUGUACUUGUGGCAAAAAGAGAAGUUUUCUUGGUCCUUAUAAAAAAAGUGAGUGUUUCUUUUCCUCAGUACCAUGUUACCCGAAAUACCUGUGCGUCAAAAUGGUACCCUUGGGUUUGUGGCCUUGGAUCACCAGUGGCUGAGCCAUUGAGCUUGGGAGGCCCCUGCCUUAGCAUCCUGAGUAGCAGAGAUCAUGAGAGUGAGCCAUGGCCAGGCCUUAGCUGCUCUAAAUCAGAUCAUAAACUUUUGUCUUUUACCAGAA
Long non-coding RNA from Mesocricetus auratus (golden hamster), 767 nucleotides. RefSeq lists it as uncharacterized. Lineage: Eukaryota; Metazoa; Chordata; Mammalia; Rodentia; Cricetidae. The transcript is spliced from 2 exons. The record is from RefSeq and is a predicted model, not a curated record.